RNAcentral lists this transfer RNA (76 nucleotides) under Bacillus cereus. RNAcentral's name for it is "tRNA-Met". It matches the Rfam family "tRNA". From Rfam's summary of the family: Transfer RNA (tRNA) molecules are approximately 80 nucleotides in length. Their secondary structure includes four short double-helical elements and three loops (D, anti-codon, and T loops). Lineage: Bacteria; Bacillati; Bacillota; Bacilli; Caryophanales; Bacillaceae. The record is from RNAcentral. RNAcentral also lists the same sequence under 2 other names.
CGCGGGUGGAGCAGCACGGUAGCUCGUCGGGCUCAUAACCCGAAGGUCGCAGGUUCAAAUCCUGUCCCCGCAACCA